CCCACAAUAAGUAAAUUAUUUAUGUGAUAAACAAAAGAAAAUGAAGGAUUUUAAGAAGAUUCAAGGAAUGAAAAUCAACAAAAAUUCUGAACCUAACUUAAAUUGUAAAGUUAAUGGACAAAAUAUCCGAUUGAUAAUAGAUACGGGAGCUAAUGUUACAUUGCUAUCCUGCACAUUCAUCAAUAAACUCAGGAAACAGAUAAUACCAUCUAAAGGUUCAAAAUCAGGGUUAUUAAGUAUUACAGGACAUGCAAUUUGAAUAUAUGCAAUGUCCAACUUCUCUUUUCAAAUCGGUCCAUUACAAUUCAAUCACCCAUGUUGUUGAUCCCCAUAUAGCCACUCCUGAUGAGGGUAUAUUAGGACACCACAUAAUUAUUCAACAUCAUUUCAGUUUCACUACAUAAUUCAAGAAUUAUCUUAGAUAAUGGCAUAAAUAAAGUUGUGUAAUAAGGUACUGAAGAGAGACUUGAAUAAUUGUCCAAAAACAUUUUACCUAAAUAAACAUUGUUAUACUCGCUGG
Molecule: long non-coding RNA, 520 nt
Filed under: Androctonus crassicauda
Lineage: Eukaryota; Metazoa; Arthropoda; Arachnida; Scorpiones; Buthidae
Source: RNAcentral